UACGAAGGGGGCUAGCGUUGCUCGGAAUUACUGGGCGUAAAGCGCACGUAGGCGGCUUUCUAAGUCGGGGGUGAAAUCCUGGAGCUCAACUCCAGAACUGCCUUCGAUACUGGAAAGCUCGAGUCCGGGAGGGGUGAGUGGAACUGCGAGUGUAGAGGUGAAAUUCGUAGAUAUUCGCAAGAACACCAGUGGCGAAGGCGGCUCACUGGCCCGGUACUGACGCUGAGGUGCGAAAGCGUGGGGAGCAAACAGG
RNAcentral lists this ribosomal RNA (253 nucleotides) under uncultured bacterium. RNAcentral's name for it is "partial 16S ribosomal RNA". It matches the Rfam family "Bacterial small subunit ribosomal RNA", at positions 524 to 776 of the family's 1533-position model. The record is from RNAcentral.